This 390-nucleotide long non-coding RNA is filed under the name Setaria viridis. RNAcentral describes it as "long non-coding RNA (SVIR_LNC004948)". The record is from RNAcentral. Lineage: Eukaryota; Viridiplantae; Streptophyta; Magnoliopsida; Poales; Poaceae.
CUAGUACCAGGAAGGCAUCCCACUCACUUCAAGCCACGAGGAAAGUUCCACAGAAAUCGCAACAUCAAGCUCUGGAAGCUACUACCUAGACGGAGAAGUUUUUGUCAUUACUCAAAAUAACAACGCGGGUACUAGCCAACAGAGAACCCCUCGACAGAUAGCACAACUCGACAACAUCUCAGAGGACGAGUCAUUAACUAACGCCCCACAAGAUGAAACUUCCGAUCAAAGAAACCAAAGAAGGAUGCGCAAUAUUACUCGGGCUGAACGCCGACAAAUGCUGGCUACAAACAUUCCCAUCACAAACCUUGAAAGAGCAUUUGACGCAGUACAGGCUCAAGAGCACAACACUCCACUCGCAGCAAUUGCCUCAAUCAACCUUAUAUCCAC